RNAcentral lists this ribosomal RNA (320 nucleotides) under uncultured eukaryote. RNAcentral describes it as "partial 18S ribosomal RNA". It matches the Rfam family "Eukaryotic small subunit ribosomal RNA", at positions 1470 to 1796 of the family's 1831-position model. The record is from RNAcentral.
CCCUUAGAUGUUCUGGGCCGCACGCGCGCUACACUGACGAAUGCAACGAGCUUAUAACCUUGGCCGAAAGGUCUGGGUAAUCUCCAAAUUUCGUCGUGAUGGGGAUAGAUUAUUGCAAUUAUUAAUCUUCAACGAGGAAUGCCUAGUAAGCGCAAGUCAUCAGCUUGCGUUGAUUACGUCCCUGCCCUUUGUACACACCGCCCGUCGCUCCUACCGAUUGAAUGGUCCGGUGAAACCUCGGGACGGCGGCUUGGUCGCUUGCGUCCGACUGCUGAAACUUGAUUAAACCAUAUCAUUUAGAGGAAGGUGAAGUCGUAACA